AACGUAUUCAACGUAUUUCGUGGACGCCGGGGGUGGCGACAGAUACACGUGGCGUACUUCCGGUGCCGAAUAAUAUCCUGCUUUGUACCUGAAAGCAGACGUACAAAUGAGAAGACGUUUAAAAGAUUUCCAACAGGAACUGCUGGUGCUCUAAACGUUUCAUUAGCCUGCUGCAUAGACGAAAAGGAUGGAUUAGAACAAUGACAAUGAAUCGAUACGUAACAAUAGUAAAACGUAAUCCAGUACGUGACCAUUUAUGAGAGCCGGGGAAAUGAGAUCGAUGAUCCGCGUUCCAAACCCAUUACAUUCGACGUGGUUGCGUCUGACUAUUGCAUAGAAUUUCUUCUCUGUAUAAACCCAAAUAUCCAUGAACACUAUCGGUCAUUAUUAAUACCAAGC
Molecule: long non-coding RNA, 399 nt
Organism: Osmia bicornis bicornis
Lineage: Eukaryota; Metazoa; Arthropoda; Insecta; Hymenoptera; Megachilidae
Exons: 3
Source: RefSeq, a predicted model, not a curated record